This 253-nucleotide ribosomal RNA is filed under the name uncultured bacterium. RNAcentral describes it as "partial 16S ribosomal RNA". It matches the Rfam family "Bacterial small subunit ribosomal RNA", at positions 524 to 776 of the family's 1533-position model. The record is from RNAcentral.
UACGGGGGGGGCAAGCGUUGUUCGGAAUUACUGGGCGUAAAGGGCUCGUAGGCGGCCAACUAAGUCGGACGUGAAAUCCCUCGGCUUAACCGGGGAACUGCGUCCGAUACUGGAUGGCUUGAGUUUGGGAGAGGGAUGCGGAAUUCCAGGUGUAGCGGUGAAAUGCGUAGAUAUCUGGAGGAACACCGGUGGCGAAGGCGGCAUCCUGGACCAACACUGACGCUGAGGAGCGAAAGCCAGGGGAGCAAACGGG